Blautia sp. CAG:37 is the source of this 73-nucleotide non-coding RNA. Lineage: Bacteria; Bacillati; Bacillota; Clostridia; Lachnospirales; Lachnospiraceae. The record is from Rfam.
GCUGAUGUGGCUCAGUCGGUAGAGCGUCGCCUUGGUAAGGCGGAGGUCACGGGUUCGAUUCCCGUCAUCAGCU